Molecule: transfer RNA, 84 nt
Filed under: Clostridia bacterium
Lineage: Bacteria; Bacillati; Bacillota; Clostridia
Description: tRNA-Leu
Rfam family: tRNA
About the family: Transfer RNA (tRNA) molecules are approximately 80 nucleotides in length. Their secondary structure includes four short double-helical elements and three loops (D, anti-codon, and T loops).
Source: RNAcentral
GCGGAUGUGGUGGAAUUGGCAGACACGCCAGAUUUAGGUUCUGGUGCCCUCAGCGUGCAGGUUCAAGUCCUGUCAUCCGCACCA